UGAGUAACACGUGGGUAACCUACCUAUAAGACUGGGAUAACUCCGGGAAACCGGGGCUAAUACCGGAUAACACAUGAAACCGCAUGGUUUCAUGAUGAAAGACGGUUUUGCUGUCACUUAUAGAUGGACCCGCGGCGUAUUAGCUAGUUGGUAAGGUAACGGCUUACCAAGGCAACGAUACGUAGCCGACCUGAGAGGGUGAUCGGCCACACUGGAACUGAGACACGGUCCAGACUCCUACGGGGAGGCAGCAGCC
RNAcentral lists this ribosomal RNA (256 nucleotides) under uncultured Staphylococcus sp. RNAcentral describes it as "partial 16S ribosomal RNA". It matches the Rfam family "Bacterial small subunit ribosomal RNA", at positions 107 to 355 of the family's 1533-position model. Lineage: Bacteria; Bacillati; Bacillota; Bacilli; Caryophanales; Staphylococcaceae. The record is from RNAcentral.